GCCCCGUUAGCUCAGUGGUCAGAGCGUGUCACGUCUUCUGGCAAGACACUGGUUCGAAUCCGGUACGGGGCA
This 72-nucleotide transfer RNA is filed under the name Stachybotrys chartarum IBT 7711. RNAcentral describes it as "tRNA-Arg (TCT) (tRNA-Arg-TCT-2-1)". It matches the Rfam family "tRNA". Rfam says of the family: Transfer RNA (tRNA) molecules are approximately 80 nucleotides in length. Their secondary structure includes four short double-helical elements and three loops (D, anti-codon, and T loops). Further hydrogen bonds mediate the characteristic L-shaped molecular structure. tRNAs have two regions of fundamental functional importance: the anti-codon, which is responsible for specific mRNA codon recognition, and the 3' end, to which the tRNAs corresponding amino acid is attached (by aminoacyl-tRNA synthetases). tRNAs cope with the degeneracy of the genetic code in two manners: having more than one tRNA (with a specific anti-codon) for a particular amino acid; and 'wobble' base-pairing, i.e. permitting non-standard base-pairing at the 3rd anti-codon position. The record is from RNAcentral. RNAcentral also lists the same sequence under 2 other names. Lineage: Eukaryota; Fungi; Ascomycota; Sordariomycetes; Hypocreales; Stachybotryaceae.